RNAcentral lists this unclassified non-coding RNA (1120 nucleotides) under Hevea brasiliensis (rubber tree). Lineage: Eukaryota; Viridiplantae; Streptophyta; Magnoliopsida; Malpighiales; Euphorbiaceae. The record is from RNAcentral.
AGAAAGUCUCAGCUGUAAUUCUUGGUUGCAUGUCUGUUGCUAUUCUAUUAGCAGAAGCAACUCUUUUGCCAAGGGGAGUCGAUUUGUCUCUGUUUUCCAUUCUAAUAAAGUCUGUUGGAGAUCAAGAGGUUCUUGUUCAGGUGUUUGCUUUUCUGCCACUUAUGUAUAUGUGUGUCUGCACUUACUAUUCGCUGUUCAAAGCUGGAAUGUAUAUGUUUUACUCAUUGACACCGAGACAAACAAGUUCUGUGAGCUUGUUAAUGAUUUGCUCGAUGAUUGCCCGUUAUGCACCUCCAAUUUCGUACAAUUUCCUUAACCUUAUCAGUCUCGGCGAAAACAAGAAAACCAUUUUUGAGAAGCGAAUGGGAACUGUUGACAAGGCUGUUCCUUUCUUUGGUCAAGGAUUCAACAAAAUUUAUCCACUUAUUAUGGUUUUAUAUACGUUGCUAGUGGCAAGCAAUUUCUUUGAUUGGAUAAUCAGAUUUUUUGGGAACUGGAAGAUAUUUAGAUUUCAGUCAGAGACAGAUGAUAUGGAUGGUUUUGAUCCAUCAGGGUUACUGAUCUUGCAGAAAGAACGAAGCUGGCUCGAACAAGGACGCAAACUUGGUGAACAUGUUUUGCCAUUAGCAAGGAAUUUCAACAAUAUGACAGUGGAUCUGGAGUCUGAUGGCAAUACUAUACAUACAAAUGAUUUUGAAUCAAAGGCACUCAUGGAAUCAAGAAAGGACCGAGGGAGUUCGUCAAGACCUUUGAAAGAUGAGGCCCGUCGGUAUUCAGGGAGCAAGGAAGCCAUUAGCAGCAAAUAUGCUGCCUUGAGGGAACAGGGCAAGCUACCAUCUCAUGUGAAGCCAAUGGAGGAGGAUAUAGGCUCUACUAAGGUCUCUUUACUUGAUUCUGCCAGCUCUCAAUCUGGCGGUGCAGUAGCAGCUCCAUCAGGUUUGGCUGGUAGAUGGGCAUCAAUGAAAUCAGGUUUCCAGAAUUUCAAAACAAACAUUGAAGCAAAAAGGUUAAUUCCACUACGCCAAGUUGGUGAAUUUGUUCCUUUACGUCAAACUCAGGAUACAAACGUUUCUCGUGCCUCCUCAUCCGUAUCUCUUGAUGAGAUAUUCCAGAAAUUAAA